Molecule: long non-coding RNA, 300 nt
Filed under: Homo sapiens (human)
Lineage: Eukaryota; Metazoa; Chordata; Mammalia; Primates; Hominidae
Description: HSALNT0222542
Source: RNAcentral
CAGGCCGUGUGCUCUGCCCAGCGGGCUGGCUCAGGCCUCGGUCAGCAGCCGCCACCGCGGGGCCAAUCCGGCCUCAGGGACGCACCGGAGCCGCCUUUCCGGGCCUCAGGCGGAUUCUCCGGCGCGGCCCGCCCCGCCCCUCGGACUCCCCGGGCCGCCCCCGGCCCCCAUUCGGGCCGGGCCUCGCUGCGGCGGCGACUGAGCCAGGCUGGGCCGCGUCCCUGAGUCCCAGAGUCGGCGCGGCGCGCAGGGGCAGCCUUCCACCACGGGGAGCCCAGCUGUCAGCCGCCUCACAGGAAG